RNAcentral lists this ribosomal RNA (774 nucleotides) under uncultured Neocallimastigales. RNAcentral describes it as "partial large subunit ribosomal RNA". It matches the Rfam family "Eukaryotic large subunit ribosomal RNA", at positions 22 to 646 of the family's 3401-position model. The record is from RNAcentral. Lineage: Eukaryota; Fungi; Neocallimastigomycota; Neocallimastigomycetes; Neocallimastigales.
AUAUCAGUCAUGCAUAGCAUAUCAAUAAGCGGAGGAAAAGAAACUAACAAGGAUUCCCUUAGUAACGGCGAGUGAAGCGGGAAGAGCUCAAAUUUGAAAUCUUCAAGGUUCUACCUUGACGAAUUGUAGUUUAUAGAAGUGUUUUCUGUUAGUGGAGUGGCAAAAGUUCUUUGGAAUAGGACAUCAUAGAGGGUGAGAAUCCCGUAUUUGGUCAUUCUUCCUAGCGUUGUGAUACACUUUCAACGAGUCGGAUUGUUUGGGAAUGCAGUCCAAAAUGGGUGGUAAAUUUCAUCUAAAGCUAAAUAUUGGCGAGAGACCGAUAGCGAACAAGUACCGUGAGGGAAGAUGAAAAGAACUUUGAAAAGAGAGUUAAACAGUACGUGAAAUUGUCAAAAGGGAAGCGUUUGACACCAGUGUUGUUUUUCCGAAAAUCAAUUACGAAUGUUUUGUUUUUGAGGAGUUAUGACUUCAUCGGCUUGCUUCUCUCUUUACGAAACUUUCUUAAUGCACUUUUCGGUUAACAAGUCAACAUCAAUUUCUUUUGUUGUAAAAGGGUAUGAGGAAGGUGGCUUUCUUUUCGGAGAAAGUGUUUAUAGCCUUGUGCCUCUGCAAUCGGAGAGAUUGAGGUCUGCAGCGUAGAUCCUUCGGGGUUAGAUACGUUUGUGCUAAGUUAUAGCUUUUCAUAGACAACUUGUUGACUAUGUUUAGUCUUGUAGGCUUACUCGCUGACGCUAUUUUACCUACGCUUAGGAUGUUGAUGUGAUACUGCGAGCA